GAGCCUGCCAUCCCUUGAAGCUUGUAUAGGGAAUGCAGCUGAGUAUGAGGUCCAUGCAAUUCUGGCUGGAGCUUUUGAACAAAAGUCAAGGAAAUCCACCAUCACCCGUGGAAUUUCUGUUGCUCUAUUUAUUGAAGAGAGAGAGAGAAAGCAGGAGGAGAAGAAUUAUAAUGCGCUGCUCAAAGGUAGUCCUAGUAAAGACAUGAACACCUCAGAAUGGGAAGUCAAGAGAAGUUGGAAGUCCCUGGGAUUGUUUCCCGCUGAGCAGCAGGAGAUGGGGAGGAACUGCCUUUGGCGACAGCCUGCUCGCAUCUCUCUGGCAAAGGGUAAGUGAUGGAUGAAUUACCAAUGAUUUCACAAAAGCUCACCUUAU
Molecule: long non-coding RNA, 373 nt
Filed under: Athene cunicularia (burrowing owl)
Lineage: Eukaryota; Metazoa; Chordata; Aves; Strigiformes; Strigidae
Description: lncRNA (ENSACUG00000011893.1)
Source: RNAcentral